ANAGUUUGAUCCUGGCUCAGGAUGAACGCUGGCGGCGUGCCUAAUACAUGCAAGUCGAACGCACAGCGAAAGGUGCUUGCACCUUUCAAGUGAGUGGCGAACGGGUGAGUAACACGUGGACAACCUGCCUCAAGGCUGGGGAUAACAUUUGGAAACAGAUGCUAAUACCGAAUAAAACUCAGUGUCGCAUGACACAAAGUUAAAAGGCGCUUUGGCGUCACCUAGAGAUGGAUCCGCGGUGCAUUAGUUAGUUGGUGGGGUAAAGGCCUACCAAGACAAUGAUGCAUAGCCGAGUUGAGAGACUGAUCGGCCACAUUGGGACUGAGACACGGCCCAAACUCCUACGGGAGGCUGCAGUAGGGAAUCUUCCACAAUGGGCGAAAGCCUGAUGGAGCAACGCCGCGUGUGUGAUGAAGGCUUUCGGGUCGUAAAGCACUGUUGUAUGGGAAGAACAGCUAGAAUAGGGAAUGAUUUUAGUUUGACGGUACCAUACCAGAAAGGGACGGCUAAAUACGUGCCAGCAGCCGCGGUAAUACGUAUGUCCCGAGCGUUAUCCGGAUUUAUUGGGCGUAAAGCGAGCGCA
This 583-nucleotide ribosomal RNA is filed under the name uncultured bacterium. Its description in RNAcentral is "bacterial SSU rRNA". It matches the Rfam family "Bacterial small subunit ribosomal RNA", at positions 8 to 573 of the family's 1533-position model. The record is from RNAcentral.